This 72-nucleotide transfer RNA is filed under the name Pheidole smythiesii. RNAcentral describes it as "tRNA-Pro". Lineage: Eukaryota; Metazoa; Arthropoda; Insecta; Hymenoptera; Formicidae. The record is from RNAcentral.
CAAAAAAUAGUUUAUUGAGAUAGAAUAUUAAUUUUGGAGAUUAAAGGUAUAAAAUUUUAAUUAUUUUUUUGA